RNAcentral lists this long non-coding RNA (821 nucleotides) under Pongo abelii (Sumatran orangutan). RNAcentral's name for it is "lincRNA". The record is from RNAcentral. Lineage: Eukaryota; Metazoa; Chordata; Mammalia; Primates; Hominidae.
UGCCUCUGCCAUAUUAGGAGGGCCUUUCGCCUCCCGCCAUGACUCUGAGGCCUACACAGCCACGUGGAACUGCAAGUCCACUUAAACCUCUUUUCGUUCCCAGUUUCAGUGUGGUGGAGAAGGAAGAGAGGGCUGAGGCAGACAAUGUAAGAUCUGCUGUUACAUCUUGCUGUGUGACCUUGGGAAAACCAGGCCAUGUUUGUGUCCCCAAACAUGAGUGAAGAUAAUCUCUCCUAUCUGAGAAAACCAGGAGUGGAGGAAUCCAAUGGGAAAUCUGGCCAAGACUCUACUACCCAGACACUGAAAGAAGAAAUGAUUAACCCUGGAGGCUGCCUCGGUCUGGGUGAAAAAAUAUAUGUACGACCACAGUGCAAUCAAACUAGAACUCAGGAUUAAGAAACUCACUCAAAACCGCUCAACUACAUGGAAACUGAACAACCUGCUCCUGAAUGACUAAUGGGUACAUAACGAAAUGAAGGCAGAAGUAAAGAUGUUCUUUGAAACCAACGAGAACAAAGACACAACAUACCAGAAUCUCUGGGACACAUUCAAAGCAGUGUGUAGAGGGAAAUUUAUAGCACUAAAUGCCCACAAGAGAAAGCAGGAAAGAUCCAAAAUUGACGCCCUAACAUCACAAUUAAAAGAACUAGAAAAGCAAGAGCAAAGACAUUCAAAAGCUAGCAGAAGGCAAGAAAUAACUAAAAUCAGAGCAGAACUGAAGGAAAUAGAGACACAAAAAACCCUUCAAAAAAUUACUGAAUCCAGGAGCUGGUUUUUUGAAAGGAUCAACAAAAUUGCUAGACCGCUAGCAAGACCAAUAA